UGGCAUCAGUGCGUAAUAUCUUUCUUCUAGGAUUUUGGUACAACAUGCCAUCAGAGAAGAUGAGAUGAAUCCUAAAUGGAAAAGGAACUCUGGACUUAGCAACUGCAGCAAAUUUGUCUUCAAUGGAAAAGAUUUUAAUCAAAAUUACAUGACAGUACUCAUUUCCCCACACUUUUGAUAACACACAAUUUAAAAUAUUUCAAUACUAAUAAUUUUUUUAUCUU
This 224-nucleotide long non-coding RNA is filed under the name Oryctolagus cuniculus (rabbit). Its description in RNAcentral is "lncRNA (ENSOCUG00000034786.1)". The record is from RNAcentral. Lineage: Eukaryota; Metazoa; Chordata; Mammalia; Lagomorpha; Leporidae.